GCCUUUGUAGUGUAAUGGUUCAUCACGUCGGAUUCUGAUUCCGGAAAUCCUGGUUCGAUUCCAGGCAGGGGCU
Transfer RNA from Rasamsonia emersonii CBS 393.64, 73 nucleotides. It matches the Rfam family "tRNA". Rfam says of the family: Transfer RNA (tRNA) molecules are approximately 80 nucleotides in length. Their secondary structure includes four short double-helical elements and three loops (D, anti-codon, and T loops). Lineage: Eukaryota; Fungi; Ascomycota; Eurotiomycetes; Eurotiales; Trichocomaceae. The record is from Rfam.